Nicotiana tabacum (common tobacco) is the source of this 1105-nucleotide long non-coding RNA. RefSeq lists it as uncharacterized. Lineage: Eukaryota; Viridiplantae; Streptophyta; Magnoliopsida; Solanales; Solanaceae. The record is from RefSeq and is a predicted model, not a curated record.
GACAAAAAAAGGAUCGGACUCUCUCCUCAAAAAUAGGGACAGCGGCGCAAGAGAGAGGAGAGAAAGAAAUCAGUGCAGCUUUCCCCAUUUCUCACCUCAUUCUCAGAAAAGAACAUGCCUAAGAGAGCUACUAAAAGAACUUUAGCAUUUUCCGUGACUAAGCUCCAAAUUUUUUUAGAAAGAAAUAAUCAAAUUGUGAAGUAAAAUCAUAUAGCUUGAUUCAACGCUUCAAUUUCAUGUCCUCGUAGUUUUUCGGGGAUUCUCAAGGUUGUUUGAAGCUGUAGCGGAGUUGUUUGUUUACUGAUUUAGGUAGUGCUGGCUGCUGAGCUCUGAUUUCUGAUGUCGGCAUUUACUUGGCUCUUUUCCCUUUUCUAAAUUUGAACCUUGUGCUGCUAGGAAAUUAGGAGGAUAAUACUACUUUAAAGGAAGUUCUUUUGGUAAGGGCAUCAGAAAGGAAACAAGAUCAAAUGCCACAAGAACAAUGCUAAAUCAAAGGACGUCAAGGCCAUCAAAAAGGAAACAAAAUCAAGCACAUGCACUAAAGGAAGUUAGAACAAUGCUAAAUCAAAGGACGUCGAGGCUAUCAAAAAGGAAACAAAUCAAGUGCAGCCGCUAAAGGAAAUCAGGCCCUACUUCAAGGAUUGAUUUGGAAUUUGGAGAUACUGAAGAUUGCUCGAUCAAGUCAAGCCAUAAAUCACUCCCUUGAUUAUGGAUAUGAAAAGGAAGGACGUAAACGAAUCCACCCCAUCCCUUGUGCAAGAUUCGGAGACACCCCUUGGGUCAAAUCUCUUAGAAUAUUUUGUGCCUCAAUCAAGGGUAAAUCUGCAACGGCUACUCAAAACACUCCUAUAAGAAGAUUGGCCAACUCAAGAAUUCGAUCACGUAACUACAUCAUCUGUUUCUAAGCCUUUCUUAUUCUUAGUACAAACAUUGUAUUCUUGAGUUUACAAGUGUCACAAAAGAUAGGAAGAAUUAGAACACAAAAUGAGUGUUGUGUCAAUAUUGGAAAGAAUUACUAUUUUUGUAUAUCGUUGGUGGUGAACGAACUAAAACCAUCGAUGUUGUAAACAUUUAUCAAAGAUCUAAGAGAACUCUUGUGACCCUA